CCCUUAGAUGUUCUGGGCCGCACGCGCGCUACACUGAACAGUUCAACAAGUCUUAACCUUGGCCGAUAGGUCUGGGUAAUCUUUGAACGCUGUUCGUGAUUGGGAUAGACCUUUGCAAUUAUGGGUCUUCAACGAGGAAUUCCUAGUAAACGCAAGUCAUCAGCUUGCAUUGAUUACGUCCCUGCCCUUUGUACACACCGCCCGUCGCACCUACCGAUUGAAUGGUCCGGUGAAUCUUUAGGACUGUGACUGAGGCCUUGCCUUGUGCGGGUCUGGCCGUGGGAAUUUAGUUAAACCUUNCNAUUUAUNGGAAGGUGAANUCGUANCA
This 328-nucleotide ribosomal RNA is filed under the name uncultured eukaryote. RNAcentral's name for it is "partial 18S ribosomal RNA". It matches the Rfam family "Eukaryotic small subunit ribosomal RNA", at positions 1470 to 1796 of the family's 1831-position model. The record is from RNAcentral.